UGGGGAAUAUUGCGCAAUGGGGGAAACCCUGACGCAGCGACGCCGCGUGUGGGAUGAAGGUCUUCGGAUUGUAAACCACUGUCGCGAGGGACGAAGCUCUGACGGUACCUCGAAAGGAAGCACCGGCUAACUCUGUGCCAGCAGCCGCGGUAAUACAGAGGGUGCGAGCGUUGUCCGGAAUCACUGGGCAUAAAGCGCACGUAGGCGGCUAGGUCCGUCCGAUGUGAAAGCCCCCGGCUCAACCGGGGAAUUGCAUCGGAUACAGCCUGGCUUGAGGACGGUUGGGGUGAGUGGAACUCCUGGUGGAGCGGUGAAAUGCGUAGAUAUCAGGAGGAACACCGGUGGCGAAAGCGGCUCACUGGACCGUUACUGACGCUGAGGUGCGAAAGCUAGGGGAGCAAACGGGAUUAGAUACCCCGGUAGUCCCUGAGCGGGCUGGCAAGGCGCAU
RNAcentral lists this ribosomal RNA (449 nucleotides) under uncultured bacterium. RNAcentral's name for it is "bacterial SSU rRNA". It matches the Rfam family "Bacterial small subunit ribosomal RNA", at positions 355 to 825 of the family's 1533-position model. The record is from RNAcentral.